AGAGCGAACGCUGGCGGCAGGCUUAACACAUGCAAGUCGAGCGGGCGUAGCAAUACGUCAGCGGCAGACGGGUGAGUAACGCGUGGGAACGUACCUUUGGUUCGGAACAACACAGGGAAACUUGUGCUAAUACCGGAUAAGCCCUUACGGGGAAAGAUUUAUCGCCGAAAGAUCGGCCCGCGUCUGAUUAGCUAGUUGGUGAGGUAACGGCUCACCAAGGCGACGAUCAGUAGCUGGUCUGAGAGGAUGAUCAGCCACAUUGGGACUGAGACACGGCCCAAACUCCUACGGGAGGCAGCAGUGGGGAAUAUUGGACAAUGGGCGCAAGCCUGACGCAGCCAUGCCGCGUGGAUGAUGAAGGUCUUAGGAUUGUAAAAUCCUUUCGACCGGGACGAUAAUGACGGUACCCGGAGAAGAAGCCCGGCUAACUUCGCGCCAGCAGCCGC
Molecule: ribosomal RNA, 446 nt
Filed under: uncultured bacterium
Lineage: Bacteria
Description: SSU rRNA
Rfam family: Bacterial small subunit ribosomal RNA
Source: RNAcentral